AAAUUUCUUUUUAUUCAAUAUUUUAUUAUUUAUGAAUACAACUCAGUUUUUGGUAAAUUAUUUUGUGCUGAAUAGUUCUUUUCUUUUAUUAGUGUAUUAACUUGUCAUUUUGUUAAGCUGUAUAUUUUGUAUGCCAAAAAUGGCUUUAAAAAUUGGAAUAUUUAAUUGAAAGUGCAGUUUUUUUUCAUUUUAGUAAUUUGGAGCCAUUUUUUUUUUCUGAAUAUUACAUGCUAACAUUGUCUUAAAAUUUUGCAAUUAUUUGAUUUUGAAUCGCUUUGUUUAAAGCUACAACCUUUAACAUCUGAUAUUUUUAUUAUCUAGAGCUCUGUAAAAAAAAGAAAAAAAAAUAUAAAAAAGAAAAUACCAAAAAAUAAUAUGAAAGCAAAAUAGAAAACAGAGUUCUAAAUAAUAAACAUUGAGGGUGGUAUAAAAAGUGGGCAUAUAUAAAAUUUCUUUUUAUUCAAUAUUUUAUUAUUUAUGAAUACAACUCAGUUUUUGGUUCUUUUCUUUUAUUAGUGUAUUAACUUGUCAUUUUGUUAAGCUGUAUAUUUUGUAUGCCAAAAAUGGCUUUAAAAAUUGGAAUAUUUAAUUGGAAGUGCAGUUUUUUUUCAUUUUAGUAAUUUGGAGACAUCUAUUUUCUCUGAAUAUUACAUGCUAACAUUGUCUUAAAAUUUUUCAAUUAUUUGAUUUUGAAUCGCUUUGUUUAAAGCUACAAUCUUAAACAUCUGAUAUUUUUAUCAUCUAGAGCUCUGUAAUAAAAAAAAAAAAAUGUGAAAAAAAAUAAAAUAACAAAAAAUAAUAUGAAAACAAAAAUUGUAAACAGAGUUCUAGAUAAUAAACAUUGAGGGUGGUAUAAAAAGUGGGCAUAUUUAAAACUUCAUUUCAUCAAUAUUUGAAUACAACUCACAGUUGUUGGUGAAUUCUUUUGUGCUGAAUUAGUUUUUUCUUUCAUAAGUAUAUUAACUUGUUGUUUUGUCAAGCUGUAUAUUUUGUAUGGCAAAAAUGGCUUUAAAAGUUGGAAUAUUUAAUUGGAAGUGCAAUUCUUUCAAUUUUAGUAAUUUGGAGACAACAUUUAUCUUCCCUGAAUAUUACACGCUAACAUAGUCUUAUUUUGAAUGACUUUGUAUAAACCUAUAACCUAAAACAUCUGAUAUUUUAUUAUCUAGAGCUCUGUAAAAAAAAAAAAAAAAAAAAAAAAAAAAAAACGUAGAAAAAUAACAAAAAAUAAUAUGAAAACAAAAAUUGUAAACAGAGUUCUAGAUAAUAAACAUUAAGGGUGGUGUAAAAAGUAGACAUAUUUUUAAAAAAAAUAUUAUUAUGAAUAGUGCACUGUAUAAUUUGUAAAAUGUUUAUUGUGAAGUCUUGGGAAAUUGUGAAACUUUAGAACUGUGUUGAGAUGUCUAUAUUCAAUCUUCAAUGAUGGUCAGUGCAAUGGAGGACAAUAGAAUAUUGCUCUGUGAAGAAACAUACUUUUUUAUAUCAAGAAAGAUCCAACAACAGUUAUCAAUGAUAUCUAAAGAGACAAAAGACUGAGAAAUACUAAAAGCUCAAAUUAGUAUUCUUUGAGAUUGAUGGAAAUGUACAAACAACUGGCACACUAAAGCUAAAAGUAAUACUAAAUAAAACUAUGAACUUGUAUAAUAACAUUUAUGUUCUAUUGUGAAAGACAUGUUUCUACAUACUGUUCUAUAAUGAAGACACGUUUCUCGUAACAUAAUGGUCUAUAGUGAAAGACAUUUUAUAGUGAAGACACAUUUCUAGAUAAUGUUCUAUGGUGAAAUAAGAUGUUCUAUAGCACAAACAGAUGUUCCUUAGUUGCAAUGAAGUGUUCAGACGACAGACAGUGUUUCCUUUUGCAAUGAAGUAUCCAGAAGAUUUCCAGCUCUUCGUUACAUAUUCUGCUGUUUUCUCAAGAAAAACACAAGGUACUGAUAGUUUAAGUCUGUAAAAAGUUUAAUAUAUGCACACAAUUUAAGAAUUUAAAUGGCCAAACCUGUUAGUGUGGAUUUAUUGUGAUAUUCUAGUUCUAGAUUUAUGAUCCUCUUUGAAUAAUAAUUUAGAUUAAAGUGAUGGAAAUUUCUCCCUUGUAAUAUCAUUUUGAUAGUGUUUUGUAAUUUUUUUCUGUUGAAUAUGAAGAAUUUUGAAUUGUGUAUGACUUGAUAAGAUAAUGAAAAGAAAAGUUAUAUUAAAACUUUCAAUAAAUACUUUUUGGCAAUUCUUUUCCUCAGUUGAAAACAUUGAAAAUGCCUAUAAAAACAAUAGGUUAAUAUUUCAUCAGAAUGUAUUGUAAGGCAGCAUGCUAUUUUGAAUGUUGGUUAUCUGCAUGGUCAGCCUAAACUGAUUUUACGUGUAAAAAAAAUAAUUGAAUGCAAACAAGGGGAAAUAAUAUAUCAAAUUAUUUUAAAAGAAAAAUACCAGUUAGCACUUGAAAAAGCUUAAAAGUAAGAACUGUACCAGGCUUACAUCUUACUGCAAGUUAAAGUUGGCACCAACUACCAAACUGAGGGAAUUCUUUGCAAAAUGGGAAUCUUUUUCCAACCAUUUAUUGAAAAACUAAUAAUGAACAUAUAUAGUAUUGAUAGAAAAAGAAAAAAAUAUAUAUAUUUAACAAUAAUGUCAUAUCUGUGACAUUAAGAUGAUGUGGUAUGAUUGCCAAUUGAGACAUCUAUAUAGCAGUGACCAAAUGAAAUCAAUUAGUUUGACAAUCGCCUUAUUAUAGAAUUUAAAAAAAACAUAUGAAAUCUUAAUUAAAUAGUUUUAAUUUAAAAGAUUAUUUCAAGUCUAAGUAUGUGACUGCCAUUCAUAAAAAUGCAUUAUUUUUAUUCCAGAUUUCAAUGUUCAACCUGAAAGUAGAAAUUCUUAAAAAUUUAUGCUGGACAUCUCAAAUCAUGGAUCCAUCCCAAUACUGGAUAUCUACAGAUAUAAGACUUAUGGAAAAUAUUCUGAUAAAUUAAUGGUAAGUGUUUACAUUAAGGAAUAUAGUGGGUUGAUUGUGGUCCAUUAUGCAUAACACCUGAAUUAAUAUGGAAUUGGAACCAUUUUACAGCACUAUAAUAGAAGCCAGCAUAUGCUUUUUAAUAUUCAAAACUAAACAAAAUCUAUUUUCAAAAUACCUAGUAAUUUCUUGUAAUUGAGUGUCAAUCUGUUUGGCAUUUUUGAUUGGAUUGAUAAAAAAGUACUACUUGGAUAAAUGUGAGAUGUAUUGGUCCAAAUAAUGAGUUCAAAUUGUUUUAAGUGUUUAAGGGUAUUCUCACUGUUUUCAAAAUACUGUAAAAUUCUGAAUAUCCUAGAGCAUGUCAAUAAAUCAGAUAAAAUAUGGGUUCCCAAUUACCAUCUAGACAAUUGUUUUUGCUAUCUUUUACUGAAGAUUUCUUUUGUCUUUUCUAGUUGUCAUUCCAAAACAAUUAAUUUUCAAGGGUAUUUAGCAGAUUAUUAACUGUUAACUUGUGUAUUGCAAUUAAGAUAACAAGUUAUACCAUGUGCCAAGUAGACAAUUGAUGAUUGGUGUAUUGCUCUUUAUCUAUAAAAGUGAAUACAAAAAUUUCGACAUCAUUCACAUUUAUCUGUCUUAAGAUGGUACUGGUACCAAACUGCUUCACUAAAAUUAGUUUGGCUUGUUUAAUUUUCAGAAAAUUUUGUCAAAAUGUUUACUUUGACCAUAUGGCAAAAAUAUAAAGAUUUAAAAAAAACUUGGAACCACACACUUUAUCGUCAAAUUUUCAUUAGACAAAUAGCAGUUUAACUAACAACAAUUUUGAUCAUGGAGAAGCUUAAUAUUUCCUGAACAAUAGGCCGUAAUUAAAACGUUCAGCUGAUUUUUGCAGAGUUAUCUCCCUGUUGUUUUAUGAACCACCUCAAAUGCAUUUCUUUGUCUUUUGGAAUAAAUAAAUAUUGUUAAUCAGAUGAUCCCAAAAACUAUGAAAUAUUUUCUGUGUUUCAGAUGUACGACCAAUUCCUGCCUCAAGUAUCAAACCAGCAAAACUUAUCUUGAUAGGAGUAAAUCAUACCACUGAAUCUCGCUUCGUACAAGGUUGAUAAUCAGCAAAAUUAUUUAAUGGGAGUAAAACAUGGGAGCAGGAUCUCACCUCAUACAAGGUUGGUAUUCGUUAACUUCCAUAGUGAAUCAAUUAUCUGUCCAUCGAUCUGAUGUCGCAAUGUUCUAAUAAAAAUUAGAAGAUGUGGUAUGAUUGCUGAUGAGACAACUCUCUAUCAGAGACAAAAUGAUGAAGAAGUUAACAAAAUAUAUAUCUUUCAUGGUUGGCAACUUUGAGUUCCAAUGAGACAGAGCUGCUUAAAAACUAGCUGUUUCACUGGGUCAACUUAUGAAUAUGAUGUACUGGAAAAUAACCAGUUGAUUAAAGUAACUACUUUUACUGUUCUUUAUCAUAACAGUUGCUGCGGUGUCUUCAGCUAUGUACUGAAAUGCUUAUGCUUAGCAAUAAUGGCAAGACAACCCCUAUUGUCAACUUGAACAUUGUAUGUUCAAUAACGGUAACAUUACUCCAACUGGAGGUAUCAACUGUAUUAGAUAGAAGAAUAUUAGAAGUGAAAGAAAUAAGUCUAGAUGUAUUUUGGUUAUUUUUCUCAUACACUUCACCUCCUUGUAUUCAUAUCUGAAUGGCUGUAUUAAGACUUUAAUAUACUGAGCCUGUUGAGGAACCAAAAUCAGGGGAAACAUUUCUAUGGGGUGUAAUUAAGUAUUAAGAAUAGUACUGAACUGCUCACCAUUGUUGCUGUAAAACCUUCAAAAUUCAAGUACUGUUCCUAUUUUCUUUUAUUAUCCAUUUGAAUUAACUGAUUAAAUUGUUGUUUGUAGGGAGGAGGGACAAUUGAAGUGAUGAACUAAUACACAUCUGAAUGAUGUACACAAGAAAAACAGACCACAUAGAAUAAGGAAAAAAAAAGACCAACUCAUAGAGUAAAGGAUAGAUGAAAUUAGAAAAAAAACCUGAAACUAACCAACAUACCAGCUGACUUACAUUAGAACUGACCCAACUGAUGGACAUAGUCAACUGAUGAUCAUAGAACAAACUUUAACAUAUUAACAUCAUAGUAAAACAAUCAACAUGUCAGCUGCCUUAUCACCAACUAAGAGGUUAGAGCUGACUCAACUGAUGAACAUAGUCAACUGAUGGACAUAGUCAACUGAUAGACAUAAUCAACUGAUGAUCAUAGAACAAACUUUAACAUAUUAACAUCAUGGUAAAACAAUCAACAUGUCAGCUGCCUUAUCACCAACUAAAAGGUUAGAGCUGACUCAACUGAUGAACAUAGUCAACUGAUGAACAUAGUCAACUGAUGAACAUAGUCAACUGAUGAACAUAGUCAAAUAGUCAACUGAUAAACAUAGUCAACUGAUGAACAUAGUCAACUGAUGAACAUAGUCAACUGAUGAACAUAGUCAACUGAUAAACAUAGUCAACUGAUAAACAUAGUCAACUGAUAAACAUAGUCAACUGAUGAACAUAGUCAACUGAUAAACAUAGUCAACUGAUGAACAUAGUCAACUGAUGAACAUAGUCAACUGAUAGACAUAGUCACCUGAUAGACAUAGACAUUUAAUAUAUUAACAGCAUAGUAAAACAAUGAACAUGUCAAUAUUAACAGCAUAGUAAAACAAUGAACAUGUCAAUAUUAACAGCAUAAUAAAACAAUGAACAUGUCGGAGACUAAUAUUCUUGUCAAUUAAAAUAUAUGACUGAAAUUUCAUAAUUGCAUAUGGUCAGUUGGAGAGAGAGAAAUAUGUAGAAUGUUCAAGAGUGGGAAAGGGAGCACACUCAUGUAUGAUGAUGAGAGAGAAGAACUAUUGCAACUUUAAAUUUGUCUUCAACCAAAUACAUGGCUUUUGAUAAGGGACGACAAAACCUAUUGUUCUUUAUUUAUUACAGUCUAAAAGUGUCAUAGAUAAGCACUAUUCUUAUUUUGAAUGUCUUUGCUUAUACCUCUAACCUUAGACAUGCAUCCCAUAUUUUUAUUAUCUAGAGCUCUGUAAAAAAAAAAAAAAAAAAAAAAAAAAAACAUGUAGAAAAAUAACAAAAAAUAAUAUGAAAACAAAAAUUGUAAACAGAGUUCUAGAUAAUAAACAUUAAGGGUGGUGUAAAAAGUGGGCAUAUUUUAAAUUUUCUUUUUUUCAUCAAAUAAUUAUUGAUGAAAUUCAAAACGAGAAUGUUUAAUUGGACGUACAAUUCUUUUGAUUUAAGAUAUUUAGAGACAAAACCUAUUGUUCUUUAUUUAUUGCAGUCUAAAAGUGUCAUAGAUUUGCAUUAUUCUUAUUUUGAAUGUCUUUAUUUUGCUUAUACCUCUAACCUUAGACAUGCAUCCCAUAUUUUUAUUAUCUAGAGCUCUGUAAAAAAAAAAAAAAAAAAAAAAAAACAUGUAGAAAAAUAACAAAAAAAUAAUAUGAAAACAAAAUUUGUAAACAGAGUUCUAGAUAAUAAUAAUAAACAUUAAGGGUGGUGUAAAAAGUGGGCAUAUUUUAAAUUUUCUUUUUUUCAUCAAAUAUAUUUAUGAAAUUCAAAACGAGAAUGUUUAAUUGGACUGUUUAAUUGGACGUACAAUUCUUUUGAUUUUAGAUAUUUAGAGACAAAACCUAUUGUUUUUUAUUUAUUACAGUCUAAAAGUGUCAUAGAUUUGCAUUAUUCUUAUUUUGAAUGUCUUUAUUUUGCUUAUACCUCUAACCUUAGACAUGCAUCCCAUAUUUUUAUUAUCUAGAGCUCUGUAAAAAAAAAAAAAAAAAAAAAACAUGUAGAAAAAUAACAAAAAAUAAUAUGAAAACAAAAUUUGUAAACAGAGUUCUAGAUAAUAAUAAUAAACAUUAAGGGUGGUGUAAAAAGUGGGCAUAUUUUAAAUUUUCUUUUUUUCAUCAAAUAUAUUUAUGAAAUUCAAAACAAGAAUGUUUAAUUGGACUGUUUAAUUGGAUGUACAAUUCUUUUGAUUUUAGAUAUUUAGAGACAAAACCUAUUGUUCUUUAUUUAUUACAGUCUAAAAGUGUCA
RNAcentral lists this long non-coding RNA (6993 nucleotides) under Mytilus galloprovincialis (Mediterranean mussel). The record is from RNAcentral. Lineage: Eukaryota; Metazoa; Mollusca; Bivalvia; Mytilida; Mytilidae.